This 253-nucleotide ribosomal RNA is filed under the name uncultured bacterium. Its description in RNAcentral is "partial 16S ribosomal RNA". It matches the Rfam family "Bacterial small subunit ribosomal RNA", at positions 524 to 776 of the family's 1533-position model. The record is from RNAcentral.
UACGGAGGGUGCAAGCGUUAUCCGGAUUUACUGGGUUUAAAGGGUGCGUAGGCGGGCCUUUAAGUCAGUGGUGAAAUCCUCCGACUCAAUCGGAGAACUGCCAUUGAUACUAUUGGUCUUGAAUACAGUUGAGGUGGGCGGAAUGUGUCGUGUAGCGGUGAAAUGCUUAGAUAUGACACAGAACACCGAUUGCGAAGGCAGCUCGCUAAACUGAUAUUGACGCUGAGGCACGAAAGCGUGGGGAUCAAACAGG